RNAcentral lists this ribosomal RNA (449 nucleotides) under uncultured bacterium. RNAcentral describes it as "partial 16S ribosomal RNA". It matches the Rfam family "Bacterial small subunit ribosomal RNA", at positions 354 to 796 of the family's 1533-position model. The record is from RNAcentral.
GUCGAGAAUCUUUCACAAUGGGGGCAACCCUGAUGGAGCGACGCCGCGUGGAGGAUAAGGUCUUCGGAUUGUAAACUCCUGUCAUGCGUGAACAAGGUUGCUUGGUUAAUACCUGGGCAAAUUGAUGGUAACGCAAGAGGAAGAGACGGCUAACUCUGUGCCAGCAGCCGUGGUAAUACAGAGGUCUCAAGCGUUGUUCGGAAUCACUGGGCGUAAAGGGUGCGUAGGUGGCGUGGUAAGUCAGAUGUGAAAGCCCGGGGCUCAACCUCGGAACUGCAUCCGAUACUGCCAUGCUAGAGUACUGGAGAGGUGACUAGAAUUCUCGGUGUAGCAGUGAAAUGCGUAGAUAUCGAGAGGAAUACCAAAGGCGUAGGCAGGUCACUGGACAGUUACUGACACUGAGGCACGAAGGCCAGGGGAGCGAACGGGAUUAGAUACCCGAGUAGUCC